CUUGGUCAUUUAGAGGAAGUAAAAGUCGUAACAAGGUUUCCGUAGGUGAACCUGCGGAAGGAUCAUUAGUGAAUUGAAUAUGUUAGCGGACCUCUUCGGAGUCCCUAGCAUCAAAUCAUAUCCAUAACACCUGUGAACUGUAAGGCUGUCUUGAAAACGAAAGUGAUUAGAGCGCCUGCCCAUUUUAUACAAACAUUAAAGUAACAAACGUAGUCUUAUUAUAAUCUAAUAAAACUUUCAACAACGGAUCUCUUGGCUCUCGCAUCGAUGAAGAACGCAGCGAAAUGCGAUAAGUAAUGUGAAUUGCAGAAUUCAGUGAAUCAUCGAAUCUUUGAACGCACCUUGCGCUCUUUGGUAUUCCGAAGAGCAUGCCUGUUUGAGUGUCAUGAAAAUAUCAACCUUGACUUGGGUUUAGUGCUCUUGUCUCGGCUUGGAUUUGGCUGUUUGCCGCUCGAAAGAGUCGGCUCAGCUUAAAAGUAUUAGCUGGAUCUGUCUUUGAGACUUGGUUUGACUUGGCGUAAUAAGUUAUUUCGCUGAGGACAAUCUUCGGAUUGGCCGAGUUUCUGGGACGUUUGUCCGCUUUCUAAUACAAGUUCUAGCUUGCUAGACAUGACUUUUUUAUUAUCUGGCCUCAAAUCAGGUAGGACUACCCGCUGAACUUAAGCAUAUCAAUAAGCGGAGGAAAAGAAACUAACAAGGAUUCCCCUAGUAACGGCGAGUGAAGCGGGAAGAGCUCAAAUUUGAAAUCUGGUGGCCUCAGGCUAUCCGAGUUGUAAUCUAUAGAAACAUUUUCCGCGUUGGCCCAUGUACAAGUCUCUUGGAAUAGAGCGUCAUAGAGGGUGAGAAUCCCGUCCUUGACAUGGACUACCAGUGCUUUGUGAUAUGUUUUCAACGAGUCGAGUUGUUUGGGAAU
Molecule: small RNA, 913 nt
Filed under: uncultured Cryptococcus
Lineage: Eukaryota; Fungi; Basidiomycota; Tremellomycetes
Description: eukaryotic LSU rRNA
Rfam family: Eukaryotic large subunit ribosomal RNA (bases 627-913)
Source: RNAcentral